AGUCAGACAGGAAAUGAUCUCCAAUCAAGGUAACCUCAAACAACAAGACGACCGGUGCAUUCCUCCUCCCUGCUGGCUGAAGAUACUAUUUUUCAAAUAAGAUGCUUCUCAGACUUUAGAGACAGAACCUCACCCAUGUCAUGUGCCAAGACAUGCGAAGGACGGGGAGGAGCUUCAUGCUACUAUGCACAAUAUUUCUCCCUUUCUUCUAACCCGAACUGAUGUUUUUUUAAAAGACGUGUGACAUGGUGUUUUUAAGAGUGAAAAGACAAAUCAUUAACUCCCCUCUGCUGGGAGUUUAUAUUUCAGUUAUGUUAUGCCAGAAUAGCUUUAGGGUGGAUACGGUACUUGAUGGCUUUGGUAUUGAAGACUCAACGGACUGUGCGUUUUUUUUUUUUGGAGAAAUGGCCAGUUUUCCAUACUACACUAGCAUGAAUUGCCAGACCAAAUGCCGCGAAAAAGUUGCAUCACAGGAUUGUGUUUUGAACAGGAGGAAGAUAAAAGACUGGACGACUGGAGAGACUAAUACAACCGAUACCUCUCAGGGUCGCUCAGACGAAAGACAGGAAAACAACUCUGCACAGACGUAAUCGGAUCACGAGACAAUAACUUUUUUUCUCACAUUUUCUCUGGACUGGAAACCAACGCCUUUGUUUCGUUUUCCUGGAGGAGUUUCUGUCUUAAAAAGAGUUUAACUCAAAUUUGACUUCCCUUUUUUUAUUUAGAGAAAUGUAUUCUUGCUCUCCAGCCAUGUAUAUCAGUACUAGCCUAUCCCUUGGGUUUCAUUUUUCAUUUUUUUGACUGCCAAUAUUUAAAACACUAUAGCAUGACUUUACUCUGUAGCAAGAUGGACUUUAUUUUGUCAUCUUCCCCCGUACAUUUUGUGUUUGUAUUUAAUUAAUUUUGUUCAUAACCGUCAACGUUUUGUGAUCAGAAAUAACAUCCCUGCAGCUUAAACUCUUAAUAUUCAUCCUCUGAUUCCUCUGAUUUGUACAAAGCACUCUUUUUUUUGUUCCACAAUUUUCUUUUUUACAUUUUGAAUGGUGCUAGAUGUCAUUUGUGACGUAUCAUGCAGUACGCCAUGAUGCAAUGGGUGCAUAUCAGGGCCUUUUGAAUUUUCUGUAUACAGCUCAAGGAUCUGGAUUAGGUGUUAUGUUAGAAGUUAGCACACGAUCAACAGUCCUUCCCCUUCCUUUUGUUUUUAUGUUUUUAUAUCACCCCCCCCCGAACUGGUCGUUAAAUAGAUCUGGAAACAGAAGACCAGUUUGUUCAAACUGCAUGAUUUUCUUGUUAUUUUAAUUCAUAACAUGCAAUCAUUUUUAGAAGGUUGUAUAUGCAACAACUCCCACAGUUUUUUUUAAACUAAUGUCCAGGUGUUGGAAAUGUUAACAGUCGCGAGGACAGACUGCAGCAUGUAAAAGGAGCGGUGGUUGGUUUGAUGUCUCUAGUUUGCUGUUGCCUCGUUUAAAAGAAAAGGGCAGGUGUGGUGUUAUAACUUCCCUUGUAUCCCCCCUCUAUGUAAUAAUUAUCUACAUAUUUUGUUCUUCAGUUUUCUUUAAGUAGAAGUUAGUCCCUUUGUUUGUUUUGACAUUUAAAAUUGCCCCAUUUAUUUCAGUAUUUUGGUAUUCGGCAAAGGUUUUCUUCCAUAGGGGGAGGGUGGGGUGGAGAGGGAAUGAUGAGUUGUGCAUAAGCCAAUUAUGUUUAUGAUUUUUGAUUAAUGUUGAUAGUUUUUAUUCCCCCCAACCUCUUUUUUCUUUCUUUACACAUUGUAAAGUCAGCCAGAGAUGACAAACAGUUCUGAACAGCAGAAAUAAAUUCAAUAAACUGUUUAACCCACUUUGUCUGAGUCUUUGGUGCAAAGUUACUGACUUGAGGUUUCAUUGAAGUCUGACUGUUC
This 1897-nucleotide long non-coding RNA is filed under the name Cottoperca gobio. RNAcentral describes it as "lncRNA (ENSCGOG00000011484.1)". Lineage: Eukaryota; Metazoa; Chordata; Actinopteri; Perciformes; Bovichtidae. The record is from RNAcentral.